AUACUAUGCUAGAUGAUCGCUUUUAUACUAUAGGUCUAAAAGAGGAAAGUCUGGACAGUAUAGAACAGGACAGUUGCUAACGGCAACCGAGGGUGACCUUAGGGAAAGUGCCACAGAGACUAUACCGCCACUUUUGUGGUAAGGGUGAAAAGAGUGGGUCUAGAGUAUCUAGAAUAGGUGAAUAAUAUCACUGAAAGUAAGAGCCCACAAUUAUUCAUGGUGACAUGAAUAAUAGGUAAACCCUGUCCACUGCAAGGAAUGAGGUUAUUGGCUGUUCGCUAGACCUUGUUGAUAUCCGCUUGAGCUAAGGAGUAAUUUUUAGCCUAGAUAGAUGAUCAUCCUAAUGACAGAAUCCAGCUUAUUGCAUAGUAUCAAU
RNAcentral lists this RNase P RNA (376 nucleotides) under Nanosynbacter sp. RNAcentral describes it as "Candidatus Nanosynbacter sp. RNase P RNA component class A". It matches the Rfam family "Bacterial RNase P class A". From Rfam's summary of the family: Ribonuclease P (RNase P) is a ubiquitous endoribonuclease, found in archaea, bacteria and eukarya as well as chloroplasts and mitochondria. Its best characterised activity is the generation of mature 5'-ends of tRNAs by cleaving the 5'-leader elements of precursor-tRNAs. The record is from RNAcentral. Lineage: Bacteria; Bacillati; Minisyncoccota; Nanosynbacteria; Nanosynbacterales; Nanosynbacteraceae. RNAcentral also lists the same sequence under 1 other name.